This 304-nucleotide ribosomal RNA is filed under the name uncultured bacterium. RNAcentral's name for it is "partial 16S ribosomal RNA". It matches the Rfam family "Bacterial small subunit ribosomal RNA", at positions 509 to 809 of the family's 1533-position model. The record is from RNAcentral.
CAGCAGUCGCCGCGGUAAUACGGAGGGUGCAAGCGUUAUCCGGAUUUAUUGGGUUUAAAGGGUCCGUAGGCGGAUCUGUAAGUCAGUGGUGAAAUCUCACAGCUUAACUGUGAAACUGCCAUUGAUACUGCAGGUCUUGAGUAAAUUUGAAGUGGCUGGAAUAAGUAGUGUAGCGGUGAAAUACAUAGAUAUUACUUAGAACACCAAUUGCGAAGGCAGGUCACUAAGAUUUAACUGACGCUGAUGGACGAAAGCGUGGGGAGCGAACAGGAUUAGAGACCCCCGUAGUCCCUGUCUCUUAUAA